RNAcentral lists this ribosomal RNA (862 nucleotides) under Daldinia sp. RNAcentral's name for it is "partial large subunit ribosomal RNA". It matches the Rfam family "Eukaryotic large subunit ribosomal RNA", at positions 55 to 943 of the family's 3401-position model. Lineage: Eukaryota; Fungi; Ascomycota; Sordariomycetes; Xylariales; Hypoxylaceae. The record is from RNAcentral.
GGAAAAGAAACCAACAGGGAUUGCCCUAGUAACGGCGAGUGAAGCGGCAACAGCUCAAAUUUGAAAUCUGGCCCUAGUGGUCCGAGUUGUAAUUUGUAGAGGAUGCUUUUGGUGAGGUGCCUUCCGAGUUCCCUGGAACGGGACGCCGGAGAGGGUGAGAGCCCCGUACGGUUGGACGCCGAGCCUCUAUAUAGCUCCUUCGACGAGUCGAGUAGUUUGGGAAUGCUGCUCUAAAUGGGAGGUAAAUUUCUUCUAAAGCUAAAUACCGGCCAGAGACCGAUAGCGCACAAGUAGAGUGAUCGAAAGAUGAAAAGCACUUUGAAAAGAGGGUUAAAUAGCACGUGAAAUUGUUGAAAGGGAAGCGUUUGCGACCAGACUUUUUCCAGGCGGAUCAUCCGGUGUUUUCACCGGUGCACUUCGCCUGGUUUAGGCCAGCAUCGGUUUCCUUAGGGGGAUAAAGGCUUGGGGAACGUAGCUCCUUCGGGAGUGUUAUAGCCCCUUGCGUAAUACCCCUCGGGGGACCGAGGAACGCGCUUCGGCAAGGAUGCUGGCGUAAUGGUCGUCAACGACCCGUCUUGAAACACGGACCAAGGAGUCGAACAUUUGUGCGAGUGUUUGGGUGUCAAACCCUCACGCGUAAUGAAAGUGAACGGAGGUGAGAGCCCUUACGGGUGCAUCAUCGACCGAUCCUGAUGUCUUCGGAUGGAUUUGAGUAAGAGCAUAACUGUUCGGACCCGAAAGAUGGUGAACUAUGCGUGGAUAGGGUGAAGCCAGAGGAAACUCUGGUGGAGGCUCGCAGCGGUUCUGACGUGCAAAUCGAUCGUCAAAUCUGCGCAUGGGGGCGAAAGACUUAUCGAACCAU